This 137-nucleotide small nucleolar RNA is filed under the name Triticum aestivum (bread wheat). RNAcentral describes it as "Small nucleolar RNA Z247". It matches the Rfam family "Small nucleolar RNA Z247". Rfam says of the family: Z247 is a member of the C/D class of snoRNA which contain the C (UGAUGA) and D (CUGA) box motifs. Most of the members of the box C/D family function in directing site-specific 2'-O-methylation of substrate RNAs. The record is from Rfam by way of RNAcentral. RNAcentral also lists the same sequence under 1 other name. Lineage: Eukaryota; Viridiplantae; Streptophyta; Magnoliopsida; Poales; Poaceae.
CAUGUCCAGAGGAGAGAUCGUCUCCCAGGUUUUGGCCGGCCUCGAUCUCGACUACAACCCGGUCGUGUCGGCGCUUGCUGCGCGGGUUGAACCCGUGACUGUUCAGGAGUUGUACACGCAGCUUCUCAGCUUUGACG